Brassica oleracea var. oleracea is the source of this 773-nucleotide long non-coding RNA. RefSeq lists it as uncharacterized. Lineage: Eukaryota; Viridiplantae; Streptophyta; Magnoliopsida; Brassicales; Brassicaceae. The record is from RefSeq and is a predicted model, not a curated record. The transcript has 2 exons.
UACGUUAAAGCCGGUAAGUCUCUCUCUGGCUAUAUGGUGUAAUCUCAAUGAGACUUAAAGAAGUAAAAAGAGUGAAGCAGGAGGAUACAUGGUUGGAUUCGCAGGCUCGAAAUACGCAAUAAGAUCUUAUCCUGUAAAGGUCGCAGAUGGAAGCAACACAAUAACAGAUCUCACACUUGUAAUGGAGUUUCAGAAGGGAGUGCUGCAGAAUCUGUUCUGGAAGAGCUUUGGAUGCGAAUCAUGCAAAGGAGCAUCUUCUUCUGUGUGUCUGAAUCUGAACGGGACGGAUUGCGGUCCCAACAGAAAAGUGCAAAGCUAGUGGAGGCGAAGCUAAUUGCAACAUCCAAAUUCAUGUGGCGUUUUCAGGGACAGACAAGAACCUCGAGUCAUUUAACUCUUGGUACGACGUUAACAAUCCGAGGCAGUACUCGCUUACCGCCCUCUAUGCAAAUGCUGUAAAUUCUUUGAGUGGAAGACAUUUGUAAGAGAGAGAGAGAGGCACAUUGUAAUGCAACAGCUGCUAUGUAACUGAGGUUCCUAAAUAGGUCUUUUGAACUUUCAUGUCUUAACAAUGAUGAAGCAAAUAACUUACACCUCCCAAGUUUGCAGACAAAAACAACAUAUCAAUAAGAUAAAUGCAAAAGAAAGAAACACACAAAAGGUUUAUAUACAGAACCCUUCUGUCAUUGUUGUAAACAAAACCCCGCAAAUUGAUGUUUUAUACACAAGGAAGAAUAUUUAAAAGAACCCCAAAAAAGCACUAAAAAGAAAAA